UGCCUACGGGGCGCAGCAGUGGGGAAUAUUGCACAAUGGGGGAAACCCUGAUGCAGCGACGCCGCGUGAGUGAAGAAGUAUCUCGGUACGUAAAGCUCUAUCAGCAGGGAAGAAAAUGACGGUACCUGACUAAGAAGCCCCGGCUAACUACGUGCCAGCAGCCGCGGUAAUACGUAGGGGGCAAGCGUUAUCCGGAUUUACUGGGUGUAAAGGGAGCGUAGACGGCAGCGCAAGUCUGGAUUGAAAUGCCGGGGCCCAACCCCGGAGCUGCUUUG
RNAcentral lists this ribosomal RNA (275 nucleotides) under uncultured bacterium. RNAcentral's name for it is "partial 16S ribosomal RNA". It matches the Rfam family "Bacterial small subunit ribosomal RNA", at positions 335 to 628 of the family's 1533-position model. The record is from RNAcentral.